UCCCUGGUGGUCCAGCGGUUAAGACUGAGCACUUUCACUGCCACAGCCAGGGUUCAAUCCCUGGUCGGGGAA
This 72-nucleotide transfer RNA is filed under the name Bos taurus (domestic cattle). It matches the Rfam family "tRNA". Rfam says of the family: Transfer RNA (tRNA) molecules are approximately 80 nucleotides in length. Their secondary structure includes four short double-helical elements and three loops (D, anti-codon, and T loops). Further hydrogen bonds mediate the characteristic L-shaped molecular structure. tRNAs have two regions of fundamental functional importance: the anti-codon, which is responsible for specific mRNA codon recognition, and the 3' end, to which the tRNAs corresponding amino acid is attached (by aminoacyl-tRNA synthetases). tRNAs cope with the degeneracy of the genetic code in two manners: having more than one tRNA (with a specific anti-codon) for a particular amino acid; and 'wobble' base-pairing, i.e. permitting non-standard base-pairing at the 3rd anti-codon position. The record is from Rfam by way of RNAcentral. Lineage: Eukaryota; Metazoa; Chordata; Mammalia; Artiodactyla; Bovidae.